AUGGAGGCAGCAGUGGGGAAUCUUGGACAAUGGGGGCAACCCUGAUCCAGCCAUGCCGCGUGAGUGACGAAGGCCUUCGGGUUGUAAAGCUCUUUCGCCCACGACGAUGAUGACGGUAGUGGGAGAAGAAGCCCCGGCUAACUCCGUGCCAGCAGCCGCGGUAAUACGGAGGGGGCUAGCGUUGUUCGGAAUCACUGGGCGUAAAGCGCACGUAGGCGGCGUGUUUAGUCAGGGGUGAAAGGCCUGGGCUCAACCCGGGAACUGCCUUUGAUACUGGCACGCUUGAGUCCGAGAGGGGGUGGUGGAACUCCCAGUGUAGAGGUGAAAUUCGUAGAUAUUGGGAAGAACACCGGUGGCGAAGGCGACCACCUGGCUCGGAACUGACGCUGAGGUGCGAAAGCGUGGGGAGCAAACAGGAUUAGAUACCCCGGU
This 432-nucleotide ribosomal RNA is filed under the name uncultured bacterium. RNAcentral's name for it is "bacterial SSU rRNA". It matches the Rfam family "Bacterial small subunit ribosomal RNA", at positions 342 to 791 of the family's 1533-position model. The record is from RNAcentral.